UACGUAGGGUGCAAGCGUUAAUCGGAAUUACUGGGCGUAAAGCGUGCGCAGGCGGUUUUGUAAGUCUGACGUGAAAUCCCCGGGCUCAACCUGGGAAUUGCGUUGGAGACUGCAAGGCUAGAAUCUGGCAGAGGGGGGUAGAAUUCCACGUGUAGCAGUGAAAUGCGUAGAGAUGUGGAGGAACACCGAUGGCGAAGGCAGCCCCCUGGGUCAAGAUUGACGCUCAUACACGAAAGCGUGGGGAGCAAACAGG
RNAcentral lists this ribosomal RNA (253 nucleotides) under uncultured bacterium. Its description in RNAcentral is "partial 16S ribosomal RNA". It matches the Rfam family "Bacterial small subunit ribosomal RNA", at positions 524 to 776 of the family's 1533-position model. The record is from RNAcentral.